UACGUAGGGUGCAAGCGUUAAUCGGAAUUACUGGGCGUAAAGCGUGCGCAGGCGGUUUUGUAAGUUCGACGUGAAAGCCCCGGGCUCAACCUGGGAAAUGCGUUGGAGACUACAAAGCUUGAAUCUGGCAGAGGGGGGUAGAAUUCCACGUGUAGCAGUGAAAUGCGUAGAGAUGUGGAGGAACACCGAUGGCGAAGGCAGCCCCCUGGGUCAAGAUUGACGCUCAUGCACGAAAGCUUGGGGAGCAAACAGG
RNAcentral lists this ribosomal RNA (253 nucleotides) under uncultured bacterium. RNAcentral's name for it is "partial 16S ribosomal RNA". It matches the Rfam family "Bacterial small subunit ribosomal RNA", at positions 524 to 776 of the family's 1533-position model. The record is from RNAcentral.